Molecule: ribosomal RNA, 484 nt
Filed under: uncultured bacterium
Lineage: Bacteria
Description: partial 16S ribosomal RNA
Rfam family: Bacterial small subunit ribosomal RNA
Source: RNAcentral
AUUGAACGCUGGCGGCAGGCCUAACACAUGCAAGUCGAGCGGAUGAAGGGAGCUUGCUCCUGGAUUCAGCGGCGGACGGGUGAGUAAUGCCUAGGAAUCUGCCUGGUAGUGGGGGAUAACGUCCGGAAACGGGCGCUAAUACCGCAUACGUCCUGAGGGAGAAAGUGGGGGAUCUUCGGACCUCACGCUAUCAGAUGAGCCUAGGUCGGAUUAGCUAGUUGGUGGGGUAAAGGCCUACCAAGGCGACGAUCCGUAACUGGUCUGAGAGGAUGAUCAGUCACACUGGAACUGAGACACGGUCCAGACUCCUACGGGAGGCAGCAGUGGGGAAUUUUGGACAAUGGGCGAAAGCCUGAUCCAGCCAUGCCGCGUGUGGGAAGAAGGUCUUCGGAUUGUAAAGCACUUUUAGUUGGGAGGAAGGGCAGUAAGUUAAUACCUUGCUGUUUUGACGUUACCAACAGAAUAAGCACCGGCUAACUUCGUG